UACGGAGGGUGCAAGCGUUAAUCGGAAUUACUGGGCGUAAAGCGCACGUAGGCGGUAAGUUAAGUCAGAUGUGAAAGCCCCGGGCUCAACCUGGGAACUGCAUUUGAAACUGGCUUACUCGAGUUUGGUAGAGGAAAGUGGAAUUCCGGGUGUAGCGGUGAAAUGCGUAGAUAUCCGGAGGAACACCAGUGGCGAAGGCGACUUUCUGGACCAAAACUGACGCUGAGGUGCGAAAGCGUGGGUAGCAAACAGG
RNAcentral lists this ribosomal RNA (253 nucleotides) under uncultured bacterium. RNAcentral's name for it is "partial 16S ribosomal RNA". It matches the Rfam family "Bacterial small subunit ribosomal RNA", at positions 524 to 776 of the family's 1533-position model. The record is from RNAcentral.